RNAcentral lists this ribosomal RNA (478 nucleotides) under uncultured bacterium. RNAcentral's name for it is "partial 16S ribosomal RNA". It matches the Rfam family "Bacterial small subunit ribosomal RNA", at positions 28 to 523 of the family's 1533-position model. The record is from RNAcentral.
GACGAACGCUGGCGGCGUGCUUAACACAUGCAAGUCGAACGGUAAGGCCCUUCGGGGUACACGAGUGGCGAACGGGUGAGUAACACGUGGGUGAUCUGCCCUGCACUUCGGGAUACGCCUGGGAAACUGGGUCUAAUACCGGAUAGGACCACUGCCUGCAUGGGUGGUGGUGGAAAGCUUUUGCGGUGUGGGAUGGGCCCGCGGCCUAUCAGCUUGUGGGUGGGGUGAUGGCCUACCAAGGCGACGAAGGGUAGCCGGCCUGAGAGGGUGACCGGCCACACUGGGACUGAGAUACGGCCCAGACUCCUACGGGAAGCAGCAGUGGUGAAUAUUGCACAAUGGGCGCAAGCCUGAUGCAGCGACGCCGCGUGAGGGAUGACGGCCUUCGGGUUGUAAACCUCUUUCAGCACCGACGAAGCGCAAGUGACGGUAGGUGCAGAAGAAGGACCGGCCAACUACGUGCCAGCCGCCGCGGUAA